UACCAUAACCACCUCUAUAUCUCAAUAUCAAAUAUUGAAAACCAAACUUAGUAAUAUUUAGUACUUUUCAUACAAAUAUAGGACAAAUUGGCUAUAAAACAUAUAUUAUAAGAUUAUGAUGAAUUUUCUUAAAAAUCAUGACGAAAAUAAGAUGUACAUCUACGUUAGAGAGUGAUAAGAGACUACUUCGCUCUAAGCAAAACGUUCGCAAAGACAUCGGUUGUGGAACGUAAAAAUAAUGCAAUAAUGCACACGGUUAAAAUAACGAACACUUAUCGGUUUUUCACAAAAUUCUACAACGCAAUUGCAGUGCAAUAAAAUUGCACACGACACGUAUCGAACGAACAUAUAAUGAAAAUCUGUUCCUAUAUAAGAGCUAGUAUUUAGAGCAGAAAAUAAAAACCAAAGUUUGAAUAAUAUCAAAGUAGUUUUCUAUUAAAUCCUGAAAUAAUAUCAUAAACAAAAUGCCUUGCAAAGGAUGUGGAAACGAUUGCAAAUGCACUGCCCAAAAGUGCUGCGACAGAUGUCCCUGCGAUCACCAUUGUCAUUGUCCCUGCAAAACUGCCGCUAAGGAAUAGCGCAGAAAAGGAGUUUGAAGUGAAAAUGCUAUAUUAAAUUUUCUUUCAGCAUAAAAUUUAUAUUGUAUUUAAAAAUGUUAUUUAAAUAAUAUAAAAUAAAAAAUAAAAUAAAAUAAAACAACCAAAGAAUUAAACAACGGC
Musca domestica (house fly) is the source of this 719-nucleotide long non-coding RNA. RefSeq lists it as uncharacterized. The transcript is spliced from 2 exons. NCBI's taxonomy places the organism in Eukaryota, Metazoa, Arthropoda, Insecta, Diptera, Muscidae. The record is from RefSeq and is a predicted model, not a curated record.